CAGAACUCCCGCCACUCUUUAUCUAGAGGACUGCACAGCUACAGUGAACAGGAGAGCAACUGCAAGGCAAAGUAAGGAAGGAGAGACACAGACAGCUGCUGCAUACGUUUCUCUAUAUGUUACUCAUUGUGAAGUCUGUUUGCUAACGAGGUUACCUACCACCAUUUGCUGGUGCUGUCACAUGUGAAAUAACUGCUACAGCUGAUCCAAUUACUCUUCAGCUCCACUGUCUGAACCAUCUGCUGCAACCUUCCUGCUUGAAAGGCAACUCUUUUCUCUUCCAGACUGGGAACAGAACAGGAAGGAGAAGAGAUGGAGACUGCAUUAUACUCUAGUAGAGUUCCCUAAAGUCAGGAGGGAAAAGAACCUAUGGCUAAAGGAACGAGUGUAGGCUCUCAGAUAUAGCAUUAAAUAGGUGCUACAUGAAUAGGUGCUACAUGAAUUUUGAAAUUGUUAACAUUUUUUUUCAACUGUUAGACAUAUAUUUAAAAAUUUUAAAUUUUAUUUAAAAAAAAUGCAGUAAUUCUUUAACUGUAGAGAGGAGUAGUAUCAGAAUUGAGGAAGACUGAAAACUUAAUCAAAUUUAAUCCAUUGUUAUGUUCAAUUACACUUGGCCUUCUAAUACAUUUUUUCACUGGACUUAAUAUUCUAAAACCAAAACCUGGGGACUAAGAAGGAACUUGGGUAUCUGAAACAGGAUUUGAACUGCAGCAUCCAAUAGUAUACUAAUUCCCACUUUCUCCAGAAACAGACUACUCAUUGAGUGCUACAGCUUUUUCAAAUCCCUUGUUCAACCAAAGGAACAUGCAUUUGAAAUUUGCAUUUGUAGUGACAAAAGCAAAACAGAUUCACUUGUGCCAAAACAACUAUUUCUAAUUGUACCCUGCUGCAGCUUUUUCUCCCUUCCAUGUUCUUUGGUACAAUCUUUUAGAGUGCAUCCACUUCCAAUUAACUACUGAAACAGAUUAUAUAAAAAUAACCUUUCAGAAAUAUCUGCACCAUAACUUCCUUUCCUGUCAUCAGUUAUUCUAUGUACCUUUUGAAAUUUCCUGCGUUUGAAGCUCUCCUUAUAAGGGGUAGAAUUCAAUUGUGAAAUAAAGGCUUUAAUCCUAAAAUACAAGUAGAAAAGUAAUGUUAAUAUUUCAUUGUGUUUUCUCCACAUCUGCCAGUAAUUACUAUCCUUUCAACACAAACAUUCUCAACUCCUUGUUCUCUUAAUUUUCACUAAAAAGUAAGAAAAUUCUAAAAGAUUGUUGCAACACAGCAAAUAAAAUUUCAAGUAAAUGCUUUUCAAAUAAAAAAGGAAGCAAGAGCAGUAAAGCUGUUGAGUUCACAGUGCUCUUGAGCAUCACUCCCAAAAUUGCUUUGUUUCUUGGAUCUACAUGCAGCUCCAGGUAGAGCCUAUCAGGGACCUGCAUUUAUCUGCCCACCCAUUCAUCACCACAUAAAUCACAUCCUAUUUCCAAUCUUAUACAGAUAGAACAUGAGCAGCUGCUUUCCAUCUAUAUAAAUAAAUACACUAGUAUUUGCAGCAAUGCUGCAUGAGCCUUUAUACAUCACAUUUGACAGACAUCAAGUCUACCAGGAAGUUAAGAGAAAGGUUACAGGGAUUCGCAAUACCUAUUAUUGGAGAGAGUAUUUUAACUUUUUGCCUGCCUCAGACCAUGAACAUGAUCAUCAUUGGCAUAGUCUAGUUUGCCUUAUGUGAUGGAUGCAGAGGCAGGAUUGACUAAACAUAAUGUACAGACAUUCAUGCAAGUGUCGAUGCAGAAUAUGGACAUAAAACUACAGUAUAUUUUGGUAAUCAAAAAGUAUCACAACAGGGGUAUGGUAUCUGCAAGCAUGACAUAUUUAUAAAGCAAUACUGCAAACAGCAUGUAAUUUUCCGACCAUUUUUGAACAUGAAGGUUACAGAUACUGAAAACAGCUUAUUAUAUUCUGUUUCAGAUACACAUUUUCUGAAAAACGUGAGGGUUUUUUUUAAUCAACUGUCAGAUUCUACAAAGAUUAUUAUCAGGAUUGCUGUUAAAGAGAAAAUAACAUGCUUUUAAGACAAUAGAAAAUGCAAGUGCAGAGCAUGUCUGGCACUGCUGGGUUUGAUUGUUGUAAAUUGUUUAUGAAUUGUCAUUCCUUAUUUUCAUCAAAAGCUUUUCUUGCAGCAGAGAAGUGUGCUUCAGCAUGCAAUUUUCCCUCUCUGGAAUGCUGAGAAUAUGCCGCAGUUACUUCGCUUGGGUUACACUGCAGUAUUUUUUUUUUAAAGGCAAGCACCAGAAUAUGCCUGUUCCACUGGGCAACAGCUCCCACUGAUCAGGAAGGAAAAAGAAAAUCUGCGAAGUAGCACAGACUGCAUGCUGCCCCACAAAACCUAGCUCUGCUCAGAGAAUGAGAGAUGUGUACCAUCCUCCACUGAAAAUGAUGUUGCUAAUGCAGAGGUAAGUAUGAAGAAGUUGAACCAGCAGAGAAAGAACAACUUAAGAAGUAUGAACCCUCUUACAGCAGGAUGUAGGUCAGGAAUAUUAUCACAAGUUGAACCUCAAGAAAAGAGCUUGCAGGUCUGUGCUGUUCUGAGUUGCAGCUGGGAUCAAACUCCAGGCUAGAAAAAGAAUACUGGUAAUACACACAAGGACUCCCCUGUCCAAAAAAGCAGCUGUUUCAGACCACACUACCAGAGCCACUGUACUUAAUCAGCACUGCGGAACGACUCUCAGCUUCAAAACCUUCCAUGUUCCUUCCUUCCUAGUCAUACAAUAGGAAUAAAUAAUUUAAUCAAGUAUUCAUCAGGAGACGGGAACAGCCUAUUAGUCUGUGCCUGCAAUCCUCCCCCCUCGCUUCCUUGCAUCUCUUAAAACUCCAGACAAGGUGGCAGGGAUGGAGCGGGGCUGAAGAUGACAUGAAACCCCUUGGACUAGGGGAUGGCAAACCUGGCCCUCGGCAAAUCUUGCCACCCUGUGCCCACCCCGAAGGGGGGAUGCCCAGCAGCAAGCCCUGCCUGCCCCCCCAACACGCCCUUCUCUAGCAGGACCUGCUGAGGAGCCGCCGCGUCUCGCAGAGAGGCCAGAGCCAACACAUAGGAGGGAUUCGUCCUGCUUGUCUGCAACAGCUGCAUGUGGCAAACAACAAUGACAACACAGCAACCGAUCAGAUUCUAACAAAAAGUAGAUCUUCAGUCCACUUAGAAGUUGUGGUCACCACUGCUUAGCAACCAAGGGGACAUGAUGGCACAGAGGAAAAUCCUCUGUCUAGACCUCACCCCGAUCCACCUUCAUGGCUGCAAACUAUCUUUCACAGCAAAUUAAGAAGAAUGUGUUUUCUUUGUUGCCUCAGAGAUACCAAGUGGGACCUCAGAUGUAGCUCGGUGUAAGCUGAAUUCUCCUUCCUCAGUGGCUGUAACUGGGGAGAAUUUAACAAGCUGGAGACAAAGAGAAUCUGAGACUUGCCAGUAAAACAGGUCUCCAGGUGUAAACGCAAGUGUUUUUUAAAAGAAAAAGAAAAACAACAGCCAGAUGCCACGGUGAUGGGGAAAAGCAAUGGAAAGACAAGGGAAUCAACGGAUACUACCUACUUCUGCUCAGUGCUCCAGCCGCGCCCCAGGCGAGGAGGGGGCAGAGGGACUCGCGAGCGGCAGCUACAAGCAAAGUCCGGGCAAAACCCGGCAAACGAGACGGAGGACGGACAAUACUCACUUCUCCCAUGCCACAGGUUAUGAUCUCAGGAUUACUCCUUGAGCCUGAAGUCGUCCUCCUCUGGGGAAACCUACUCCUUGUUGGGACCUGUCCAUGUCACAUGUGCAGAAAUGCACAAAGCAAGUAACUCCGAUGCAGUGUUUUG
Molecule: long non-coding RNA, 3828 nt
Organism: Columba livia (rock pigeon)
Lineage: Eukaryota; Metazoa; Chordata; Aves; Columbiformes; Columbidae
Exons: 8
Source: RefSeq, a predicted model, not a curated record